RNAcentral lists this ribosomal RNA (497 nucleotides) under uncultured bacterium. RNAcentral's name for it is "partial 16S ribosomal RNA". It matches the Rfam family "Bacterial small subunit ribosomal RNA", at positions 28 to 507 of the family's 1533-position model. The record is from RNAcentral.
GAUGAACGCUGGCGGCGUGCUUAAUACAUGCAAGUCGAGCGAACGGACGAGAAGCUUGCGUCUCUGAUGUUAGCGGCGGACGGGUGAGUAACACGUGGAUAACCUACCUAUAAGACUGGGAUAACUUCGGGAAACCGGAGCUAAUACCGGAUAAUAUUUUGAACCGCAGGGGGCAAAGGUGAGAGACGGUCUUGCUGUCACGAAUAGAUGGAUACGGGCUGCAUUAGCUAGUUGGUAAGGUAACGGCUUACCAAGGCAAGGAUGCAUAGCCGACCGGAGAGGGUGAUCGCCGACCUUGGAGCUUAGACGCGCUCCAGGGUCCUACGGGAGGCAGCAGUCGCGAACGUGCGGCAGUGGGCGAAAGCCUGACGGAGCAGCGCGGCGUGAGUGAUGACGGCCUCCGGAUCGUAAAGCUGUGUUUCUAGGUAUGAACCGCUGUGUCAGUAACUGUGGCGUUCGUGACGGUACUGAAUCAGAAAGCCCCGGCUAACUACGUG